This 110-nucleotide small RNA is filed under the name Serratia ureilytica. RNAcentral's name for it is "RtT sRNA". It matches the Rfam family "RtT RNA". From Rfam's summary of the family: This family represents a bacterial cis-regulatory element known as RtT RNA. The record is from RNAcentral. Lineage: Bacteria; Pseudomonadati; Pseudomonadota; Gammaproteobacteria; Enterobacterales; Yersiniaceae.
CAAGGUGUUAAAUCGUCAGGAUGAGAACCGUAAAGGUUCGAGUCUUGCGAAGCGAGACAACAUCACUCCGGUGGUGGCCCGAAGGGCGAGUUAUCCUACACGACCCACCA